RNAcentral lists this ribosomal RNA (253 nucleotides) under uncultured bacterium. Its description in RNAcentral is "partial 16S ribosomal RNA". It matches the Rfam family "Bacterial small subunit ribosomal RNA", at positions 524 to 776 of the family's 1533-position model. The record is from RNAcentral.
UACGGAGGGGACUAGCGUUGUUCGGAAUUACUGGGCGUAAAGCGCACGUAGGCGGAUUUGUAAGUCAGGGGUGAAAUCCCGAGGCUCAACCUCGGAACUGCCUUUAAGACUGCAUCGCUUGAACGUCGGAGAGGUAAGUGGAAUUCCGAGUGUAGAGGUGAAAUUCGUAGAUAUUCGGAAGAACACCAGUGGCGAAGGCGACUUACUGGACGACUGUUGACGCUGAGGUGCGAAAGCGUGGGGAGCAAACAGG